UAUGUAGUGCCUGAUAAAAGGAUAGCUUUGAUAGAGCUAAUAAUGUGUUUUAGCUUCACCUACAUAG
RNAcentral lists this transfer RNA (67 nucleotides) under Trapezia garthi. RNAcentral's name for it is "tRNA-Ile". The record is from RNAcentral. Lineage: Eukaryota; Metazoa; Arthropoda; Malacostraca; Decapoda; Trapeziidae.